UCUUCCGUCAUGGGGGAGUAGUCUGCCGGUGCGCCAGCACCGGGGCUGACGUCAACAAACUUGGUGUGAUCACCAUGGCGUCAGCGCCCGUCACGAGAUGGGC
Molecule: small RNA, 103 nt
Filed under: Edwardsiella ictaluri
Lineage: Bacteria; Pseudomonadati; Pseudomonadota; Gammaproteobacteria; Enterobacterales; Hafniaceae
Description: Manganese sequence
Rfam family: Manganese Mn2+ riboswitch aptamer (yybP-ykoY)
About the family: This RNA was originally discovered in E. coli during a large scale screen and was named SraF. The family was later found to exist upstream of related families of protein genes in many bacteria, including the the yybP and ykoK genes in B. subtilis. The specific functions of these proteins are unknown, but this structured RNA element may be involved in their genetic regulation as a riboswitch.
Source: RNAcentral